AGAGUUUGAUUAUGGCUCAGGAUGAACGCUAGCUACAGGCUUAACACAUGCAAGUCGAGGGGCAGCAUUGGGGUAGCAAUACUCAGAUGGCGACCGGCGCACGGGUGAGUAACACGUAUCCAACCUGCCGCUUACUCGGGGAUAGCCUUUCGAAAGAAAGAUUAAUACCCGAUGGUAUAAAGAGUUCGCAUGUUCUCUUUAUUAAAGAAUUUCGGUAAGCGAUGGGGAUGCGUUCCAUUAGAUAGUUGGCGGGGUAACGGCCCACCAAGUCUACGAUGGAUAGGGGUUCUGAGAGGAAGGUCCCCCACAUUGGAACUGAGACACGGUCCAAACUCCUACGGGAGGCAGCAGUGAGGAAUAUUGGCCAAUGGACGAGAGUCUGAACCAGCCAAAAGUAGCGUGAAGGAUGACUGCCCUAUGGGUUGUAAACUUCUUUUAUAAGGGAAUAAAGUGAGGGACGUGUCCCUUUUUGUAUGUACCUUAUGAAUAAGGAUCGGCUAACUCCGUGCCAGCCGCCGC
RNAcentral lists this ribosomal RNA (519 nucleotides) under uncultured bacterium. RNAcentral's name for it is "bacterial SSU rRNA". It matches the Rfam family "Bacterial small subunit ribosomal RNA", at positions 8 to 518 of the family's 1533-position model. The record is from RNAcentral.